CCUACGGGAGGCAGCAGUUGGGAAUCUUGGACAAUGGGGGAAACCCUGAUCCAGCCAUGCCGCGUGAGUGAUGAAGGCCUUCGGGUUGUAAAACUCUUUCGACGGGGACGAUAAUGACGGUACCCGUAGAAGAAGCUCCGGCUAACUUCGUGCCAGCAGCCGCGGUAAUACGAAGGGGGCUAGCGUUGUUCGGAAUUACUGGGCGUAAAGCGCGCGCAGGCGGUCUUCCAAGUCAGUGGUGAAAGCCCGGAGCUCAACUCCGGAACUGCCAUUGAAACUGUAAGACUUGAGGACGAGAGAGGUGAGUGGAAUUCCCAGUGUAGAGGUGAAAUUCGUAGAUAUUGGGAAGAACACCGGUGGCGAAGGCGGCUCACUGGCUCGUAUCUGACGCUCAGGCGCGACAGCGUGGGGAUCAAACAGGAUUAGAUACCCUGGUAGUCCACGCCGUAAACGAUGAAUGCUAGCCGUUGGGUAGCUUGCUAUCAGUGCGCAGCUACGACAUAAGUACAUUCCGUCCGUCGGGGUAGGUACGGGCCGGCCGAAGGUUAGGUAAACGUACGAAAGGAAAGUUAAGGUACGGCGUUGAGACGUUGCCGAACGGACGACGACGAGGGGAGGUUAGG
RNAcentral lists this ribosomal RNA (623 nucleotides) under uncultured bacterium. Its description in RNAcentral is "bacterial SSU rRNA". The stretch from base 1 to 516 matches the Rfam family "Bacterial small subunit ribosomal RNA", at positions 338 to 873 of the family's 1533-position model. The record is from RNAcentral.